GAUGAACGCUGGCGGCGUGCUUAACACAUGCAAGUCGAACGAUGAAGCCCAGCUUGCUGGGUGGAUUAGUGGCGAACGGGUGAGUAAAACGUGAGUAACCUGCCCUUAACUCUGGGAUAAGCCUGGGGAAAUGGGGCUAAUACCGGAUAGGAGCGUCCAUCGCGUGGGGGGUGUUGGAAAGAUUUUUCGGUUUUGGAUGGACUCGCGGCCUAUCAGCUUGUUGGUGGGGUAUUGGCUCACCAAGGCGACGACGGGUAGCCGGCCUGAGAGGGUGACCGGCCACACUGGGACUGAGACACGGCCCAGACUCCUACGGGAGGCAGCAGUGGGGAAUAUUGCACAAUGGGCGCAAGCCUGAUGCAGCGACGCCGCGUGAGGGAUGACGGCCUUCGGGUUGUAAACCUCUUUCAGUAGGGAAGAAGCGAAAGUGACGGUACCUGCAGAAGAAGCACCGGCUAACUACGUG
This 466-nucleotide ribosomal RNA is filed under the name uncultured bacterium. Its description in RNAcentral is "partial 16S ribosomal RNA". It matches the Rfam family "Bacterial small subunit ribosomal RNA", at positions 28 to 507 of the family's 1533-position model. The record is from RNAcentral.